GCCGCGCGCCGGUUUCGACGCGUAGCGCGAUCCUUCCAUACGUCGAACCUUUACGACUCUCGGCAACGGAUAUCUUGGCUCUCGCAUCGAUGAAGAACGCAGCGAAAUGCGAUACUUGGUGUGAAUUGCAGAAUCCCGUGAAC
RNAcentral lists this ribosomal RNA (143 nucleotides) under Ophiopogon chingii. RNAcentral's name for it is "5.8S ribosomal RNA". The stretch from base 55 to 143 matches the Rfam family "5.8S ribosomal RNA", at positions 1 to 89 of the family's 154-position model. From Rfam's summary of the family: 5.8S ribosomal RNA (5.8S rRNA) is a component of the large subunit of the eukaryotic ribosome. It is transcribed by RNA polymerase I as part of the 45S precursor that also contains 18S and 28S rRNA. The record is from RNAcentral. Lineage: Eukaryota; Viridiplantae; Streptophyta; Magnoliopsida; Asparagales; Asparagaceae.